GGAGGAAAGUAGGGGAUCGCAAGACCUCGCGCUAUUGGAGCGGCCGAUGUCGGAUUAGCUAGUUGGUGAGGUAAAGGCUCACCAAGGCUACGAUCCGUAGCUGGUCUGAGAGGACGACCAGCCACACUGGGACUGAGACACGGCCCAGACUCCUACGGGAGGCAGCAGUGGGGAAUUUUGGACAAUGGGCGAAAGCCUGAUCCAGCCAUGCCGCGUGUGUGAAGAAGGCCUUCGGGUUGUAAAGCACUUUUGUCCGGAACGAAACGGCGAAGGCGAAUAACUUUCGUUAAUGACGGUACCGGAAGAAUAAGCACCGGCUAACUACGUGCCAGCAGCCGCGGUAAUACGUAGGGUGCAAGCGUUAAUCGGAAUUACUGGGCGUAAAGCGUGCGCAGGCGGUUUCGCAAGUCAGAUGUGAAAUCCCCGGGCUCAACCUGGGAACUGCGUUUGAAACUACAAGGCUAG
This 465-nucleotide ribosomal RNA is filed under the name uncultured Pseudomonadota bacterium. RNAcentral describes it as "bacterial SSU rRNA". It matches the Rfam family "Bacterial small subunit ribosomal RNA", at positions 198 to 644 of the family's 1533-position model. Lineage: Bacteria; Pseudomonadati; Pseudomonadota. The record is from RNAcentral.